This 207-nucleotide ribosomal RNA is filed under the name uncultured bacterium. Its description in RNAcentral is "partial 16S ribosomal RNA". It matches the Rfam family "Bacterial small subunit ribosomal RNA", at positions 568 to 774 of the family's 1533-position model. The record is from RNAcentral.
UACGUAGGCGGUUUUAUUAGUUAGGUGUGAAAUCCCAGGGCUCAACCUUGGAACUGCACUUAAUACUGUAAGACUUGAGUUUGAAAGAGGAAAGCGGAAUUCCUAGUGUAGAGGUGAUAUUCGUAGAUAUUAGGAGGAACAUCAGAGGCGAAGGCGGCUUUCUGGUUCAAAACUGACGCUGAGGUACGAAAGCGUGGGGAGCAAACA